This 384-nucleotide ribosomal RNA is filed under the name uncultured bacterium. RNAcentral describes it as "bacterial SSU rRNA". It matches the Rfam family "Bacterial small subunit ribosomal RNA", at positions 28 to 412 of the family's 1533-position model. The record is from RNAcentral.
GACGAACGCUGGCGGCGUGCUUAACACAUGCAAGUCGAGCGGUAAGGCCCUUUCGGGGGUACGACGAGCGGCGAACGGGUGAGUAACACGUGGGUGACCUGCCCUCAGCUCUGGGAUAAGCCUGGGAAACCGGGGUCUAAUACCGGAUAUGACUCCAUGACGCAUGUUGUGGGGUGGAAAGCCUUGUGCGGCUGAGGAUGGGCCCGCGGCCUAUCAGCUUGUUGGUGGGGUGAUGGCCUACCAAGGCGACGAUCCGUAGCUGGUCUGAGAGGAUGAUCAGCCACACUGGAACUGAGACACGGUCCAGACUCCUACGGGAGCAGCAGUGGGGAAUUUUGGACAAUGGGGGCAACCCUGAUCCAGCCAUUCCGCGUGAGUGAAGAA